GCUUUGUUAGCUCAGUCGGAAAUGGCAUGAGGCUUUUAAUCUCAGGGUCACGGGUUCGAGCCCCAUACAAAGCU
Molecule: non-coding RNA, 74 nt
Organism: Entomophthora muscae
Lineage: Eukaryota; Fungi; Entomophthoromycota; Entomophthoromycetes; Entomophthorales; Entomophthoraceae
Source: the annotation of a GenBank genome assembly